UUUCAAUUUUCCUUGAGUGCAGCCAUUUUUGCUAGCUGGUGAUCCCAGGCAGCUGUGUAAGCAAGAGGGCAGAAAGCCCUGUUCCAGAAGGCAUCCCACAUGGACACAACUCCUGCUGCAGAUUGCCCCAUGAAGGAGCUUCUCUCUUCAUUAACUCCAAGGAAAGCUGAGAAAGACAGGCUGGCUUUUCAGGACUUGUGUCAUCUUUGGAAGCACUCUUUCACACCCUACCAAGAUGAUUUCAGGAAAUGACCAACAGACCCAGUAACACCAAGGAACAGCUCUGUAAGUUCACUUUGCAAGAAUAAGUGAACUGUCUUGGUUUCUUUCAAAUGCUUGUACAUCACAUACCUGCUGGCAAUACAGCUGUAAAUUAACAAGACCUUACAGGUCUAAGAAGAGUUUGUGGGAUUUUUACUUAUGAGGCUAUGAAGAUGGCUGCAUUGUAGCAAUUCUGCUGCAUUCCGAUUGCGCCCAUCCCUCAGUGCACUAUGACACUGGACACUGUGCUAAUGCAGCGUGCCUGGCUAUCAGGCUGGAAACACCACCUGAAAGGAUCAUUUUCCAGUGUGCCGAGCGUUCUACUGCUAAGGCAUUUGUGCUGAGCUUAAAAAAUGUGAGCCAGCCUCUUGAUUCACAUCUCUACAAAUUUUCCCUCCAAAACGGAUGAUUGCUCAGUUAGUUUUAGCUGAAAAGAAGUUCAAUAGCGAGUCACAAAUAAUUAUGGCAACAUGACAGACGAAUAAUAUCUACUGCCUGACCACUCACUAGAUAAUCCCAAACUGCAAGCUAGCAGUAAAAGAAAUUAAGAGCAAACACAGAAUGCUGUACAACAGAGGCUAUCAGAACAAAACGUUUGACUCUGUGCCACCUGUUUAAAUUGGUUUUGCACCCAUAAGAAUGAACGGACCUUCGUAACCCCGGCGCUCGCCUUACGACGCCAGGGCUGGCCGUGACCUGCCGGGCGGUGUCGGGCAGCCCGUCCGCAGCCCUCUGUCCAGCCGCACGGCGAGCACCCCCGCUGCGGGGCCGCAGCACCAGCACGGCUCUCGGGGAGCGGUACGGGGGUCUCGCAUCCCUCCGCAUCCCUCCUCUGGGCUCUCCCGCAGCCCCUCCGCCGCUCCGUGCCGUCCCGGCUCCUGCGGCUCCUCCUUGGCCGCGGGAGCCGCGGGCGCUGCUCCGGCCGCG
RNAcentral lists this long non-coding RNA (1188 nucleotides) under Cyanistes caeruleus (blue tit). RNAcentral's name for it is "lncRNA (ENSCCEG00000015089.1)". The record is from RNAcentral. Lineage: Eukaryota; Metazoa; Chordata; Aves; Passeriformes; Paridae.